This 200-nucleotide unclassified non-coding RNA is filed under the name soil metagenome. Its description in RNAcentral is "partial contains internal transcribed spacer 2 and large subunit ribosomal RNA". The record is from RNAcentral.
GCGUCAUCAAACACUCUCAGGCCUUGGCUUGGAACUGGGCUACGCCUGUGACACGGCCGGCCCCAAAACUAGUGGCAGUGCCAUCCGACACCAAGCGUAGUAAUUAUCGCCGCUAUGGUACUCGGGUAUUCUCUUGCCAGCGAAACCCCUAAUUUUCAACGUUUGACCUCGGAUCGUGUAGGAAUACCCGCUGAACUUAA